Non-coding RNA from Chrysemys picta bellii (western painted turtle), 872 nucleotides. Lineage: Eukaryota; Metazoa; Chordata; Testudines; Emydidae. The record is from RefSeq and is a predicted model, not a curated record.
AUUGGCUAUUUUUUGCAUAGAGGGAUUCAAACAUGUAAAAAGCCAGCACUGUUUAAGCAUGCAACACUUUUUAUUCUGAUUUUCUUUAAGGAAUUCCUGCACAAUUACAUUGAAUGACGUGUGCAGAGCAGAGGCUGUGGAGAAGCCCGUGUUAUCGUGCACUCUACACAUUUCACAGUUGCUCUAUUUUCAGAAGCUAUGAUCCUUAAGGAGAGAUUAGAUAGUCAGUCACUUACCUACUGAUCUCUGCAGCUUGUACACAAAAGUACGUGCAGUAUAUGAUUUUUUCUAAACUGCCACGUGACAUCCUGCUGAUUGCUACUGUAAUACUACUCAACUAUCCUCCCCCAAAAGUGAUCUAAUCCCAUAUAUGGGACCUGGCCUCCACUCAGCAGCUGGCUAGAGGGUGCUCAGGAAAGCUGUGUGAUAUGGGACAUCUUGUAUAGUUUGAAAAAAGACAGGCUGGAGCAAGAGAUGAAUUCUGUAUCAGCUUUUCUUUCCACAGCUAUCCAGGGUGGAUCUUUAGCCACAUCACAAGAUUUUACCUGAGAUCUACAGACUCUGAGCAGCGGCAUAACCGAGCAUCCCAGGCAGAUGUAGCUGAUUCCAAUCUUUGCAUAAAUGAUGGAUGUUAAAUCAAUUCUGAGAGAUGGACUGGAAGCUAACAUAAUACAGUAAAAGCUGUGUUACCCAGCACUUUACCAACUGGAAAGCUCUAUAAACCGACAUAUCUGAUCUUCAUUGAAAGUCCGGUAUAUAGUCCGGUUGGUGCAGGGCCUGCAGGCUCCUUACCUGGCUCCGUGUGGCUCCCCAGAAGCGGUGACAUGACCCUGCAGCUCCUAGGCAGAGGAAAAGCCACAAGGUGUUUGGAG